This is a long non-coding RNA of Lolium rigidum, 791 nucleotides long. RefSeq lists it as uncharacterized. The record is from RefSeq and is a predicted model, not a curated record. NCBI's taxonomy places the organism in Eukaryota, Viridiplantae, Streptophyta, Magnoliopsida, Poales, Poaceae. The transcript has 3 exons.
ACCGAGCGAGCGACCGGCGGCGACCGACCGGAGGCGAGCGGAGCUGCUGCGGGAGGGGCAGGAGGAGCGGAGCAUCUUACCGGCGGUAGGGGCGGAGAAUCUUACCGGCGGGAGGGGCGGGAGAGGCAGAGCAUCUUACCGGCGGGAGGAGAUGGAUCCCGCCUAGCUGCUCCCACAUCAGAUCGCCGACGUUCUUGCAGACUGACCGGCGCCGCCAACUACUUCCGUUCUGAUCUCCGAAGCUACUCUACAGUUGGAAGCUUUGGUUGGUAACCUAGAAGAUGCAACAUUUUCCAUCGUUAGACAGGCCUCGAAGUUGAACCUGUCAUCAGUACUUCGACGGGCAUCAAAUCGUUUCAGUUUCCAAAAGCCUUCGUAGCCACUGAUCCCGUCUACGUCUACUGUCGCACUUGUCGCUGCAAUUUCUACCAGUGAUGGCACCUGUGAUGUGUGCUCGCGACUGAUGUUGGUCAAAAGACUGUUUGUUGUUGACUGGUGUAACCUGUUAUGAUAUUUUGUAGUGUCAUGGUUGCUCAGAAGUUGCAAGGUUCACAUGUUAUGUUGUAUGUGAUGAGAAUUGUGACAACAUGAGUUCCUUUUCCACUGUACCUGGAUUUUGGACUUUCAGUCUCACUGUCGUAUUGGACCUGAUACACAUGGAUGGACAUAGUGACAUAAAGGUUCUUUAGUUCAGAUUUUAAGGUCAGUGCCGUGUGGCCAGUGACGUAAAAAUUUAAUCUCUGCUACUAUAUGUUGGUUUGGCUUGUUGAUUUCAAUUUCCGUUGUGUGCA